This 165-nucleotide non-coding RNA is filed under the name chicken gut metagenome. Its description in RNAcentral is "Lysine riboswitch". It matches the Rfam family "Lysine riboswitch aptamer". From Rfam's summary of the family: Riboswitches are metabolite binding domains within certain messenger RNAs that serve as precision sensors for their corresponding targets. Allosteric rearrangement of mRNA structure is mediated by ligand binding, and this results in modulation of gene expression. The record is from RNAcentral.
GGGUAGAGGUGCAAUUUUAAUGAGUACUUUGCAAGAGGAUGCCAGUCCGUUUGCAUUGGAAGGGAAAGGUAAAGUUGCCGAAGGGGAUGUGUGGCAGGCAUCCGCCUGACUUUGCGUCUGAAUAAGCGUAAGGUUGUCAUCAUGUAGUUGAUGGAGAGCUAUCGG